AUGCUCGGCCCCCGCCCAGACUCUCGAGGGUCAAAGCUGGGGCCAGAGCCCGCCAGCUCCGAGGUCUACUCCACCUGCCUGCGAGCAGCCGGGGUUCCCCGCGGCGAUGUCUGCCCCGCGCCUCCGCCUCGACCUCUGACCGCUCUCCGGCCGCGCCGCGGGCUCAGCCGAUCCCGCUUUGUCUGCUCCUUAACUGGAGAUCGGGCCCCGCCGGGCUGCGGGGUCUCUCCCGCGGCGCGAGGGGUGCGGGAGGCAAGUCCUACCCUAGAUGCGCUCCCAGGAGGGGAUGAAAGGCUGCAAAUGACCUCACUCGGCCUUUGGCAGCCCUGGUCUGCAAGAUGUCGUCUUAUGGGGUGUGAGAGGGAAGAGGGCCGCGGCCCUGCCUGCCCCAUCCUUGCUGCGCUUCCCUCUGUGUGUGGGCCUCACUCUGUCUUGGUGCAAGGGGGCCUCCCCCUUCUGCCUGAGGGUGACAGGCGUCACUCUCCAGGGUCGCAUCCCCGUGGGGUGGCAUCGCUGAUUCGACAGUUUUCUCCUCUCGCUUCAGCAUAAAAG
RNAcentral lists this long non-coding RNA (552 nucleotides) under Capra hircus (goat). RNAcentral's name for it is "lncRNA (ENSCHIG00010017575.1)". The record is from RNAcentral. Lineage: Eukaryota; Metazoa; Chordata; Mammalia; Artiodactyla; Bovidae.